AGUAAAGUGGCGUACGGGUGAGUAACACGUGGAUAAUCUACCCUGGAGUGGGGAAUAACGCUGGGAAACCGGCGCUAAUACCGCAUAAUCCCGAGAGGGCAAAGGAGCAAUUCGCUUCAGGAGGAGUCCGCGGCCGAUUAGCUUGUUGGUAGGGUAAUGGCCUACCAAGGCAAUGAUCGGUAGCCGGCCUGAGAGGGCACACGGCCACACUGGCACUGAAACACGGGCCAG
This 231-nucleotide ribosomal RNA is filed under the name uncultured bacterium. Its description in RNAcentral is "partial 16S ribosomal RNA". It matches the Rfam family "Bacterial small subunit ribosomal RNA", at positions 89 to 334 of the family's 1533-position model. The record is from RNAcentral.